Long non-coding RNA from Eucalyptus grandis, 3131 nucleotides. RefSeq lists it as uncharacterized. Lineage: Eukaryota; Viridiplantae; Streptophyta; Magnoliopsida; Myrtales; Myrtaceae. The transcript is spliced from 2 exons. The record is from RefSeq and is a predicted model, not a curated record.
GCGAUGAAUCGCUCAGCAUCGUCGUCACCGUUCUGGAUGCUGUCCGACCCACGAUUCAUCGCAUCUUCUGGGUUUCAUUCCAUCUGCAAAGCUGUUCAUUCGGGACAAGAUGGAGUUUUUCACUUCGUUUUCAGAUGGCUCUGUUGCAUAAAGAACCCAAAGCUAUCAGGUUAUAGACAUUCCAAAUAGAAGCUGCAAUGAGGUUGUUAUGCUGACUGGGUAAGUGGUAAAGCAUUUCUUUUACUGUUGCAGUCUUGGAGUCUACAGAGAAAGAUGGCUCAGUUUAAUGGUAAGUGUUACUGCUCAAUGCAAUACUGGAAGAAAACAAGUUGUGUCCAAACCAUUCAUGUUAUGCGUUCAUGGAUAGUCAUUUCUCUUUAAAAGUUUCGAUGUAUAUUCAAUUGUAUUACUAGCAUUUAUUUCCAAUUGAGUUGCAAUUUUUUAUUGCACUAGGCAUGACUAGGCUUAUGGUAUUUUUUAAAUUUCUCAGUAGUCACUGUAGAUUCCUACGUUUUGAUAUUAUUGUACAUGAACAGUUCCUUUUUGCGUUUUUUCAGUAAUCUUAUUUUGAUGAGAAAAUUGGCAUGCUUAAUCUAAAAAAUCGCUUGGAGGAUGUUUUGUUUGAUGUUAGCUGUGAGGAACUAACUUUUGCCAAGAGUCACUAUAUCUUUACAUAGAGGAGUCUGAAUAGGGAGUCCCAUGGGCAAAAUGUUACUUUCCUAACUAAAGUACGAGCCUUGGACAUCAUCAUACGAGUCGUUAGAUUUAUCCUACUUCUGUCUAGAUCUCGCUUUGCAUUCUUUUUUUCUCCUUGCCCAAUAAAUGUAGGGUUUUUCAUUUUAUCUUAAUUCUUUAUGUGACCCUUUUCUGGUACGGUACUGUCUGCAUCUUUAUUUUGUGCUUGGUACAUUUUUCUUCUUGUUUUCUUCCUUUUAUCCCAGUCUGAGAUUUUUCUUGUCUAAUUCGUUUUCUUUCUAGAAUUCCACCCUUGAAAAAGUAACCUUUUGAUCAUUGUCUGCAUCUCAAUGAUGAAUAGUGCCUUGUAAAAGUUCAGCUUAUACAGGUCAUAGUUCAAUGUAUUGUCUGUGACCAUUGACCAUUACUCGUGCAAAAGCUCAAGGGCUUUAAGCAAAGUGGGUUUAAACCUCCUAACAUCGAUUGUGACAUUCUGCUUGUCUAAGUAACCCAACUUAAAAGCUUCUAAGUUACAUCUAUGAAAUAAAUAUGGAUUCUUCAAGGCCAUAUGGUCUAGUGGGAAUUGCUCUAUCAAAGUGCUCUCUUUUGUCCCUAUCUUAUACUCUAGAUACCUUAUGUUCAUUUCCUUUGAGGGCACUCCAAAGUAUGUUUUCGCAACCAGUUCUACACCGCCUAAAGGAACUACUUGUAUCAUAACCGCACCCUCAGGAAGGAAGAGAACAUUAGUAAGUCCAGCUCCAUGUAUUCCCAUCACCACAUCACAAGAAUUCAUUAUCUCUGCAAAUCUAGCCACGUGUAUGUCCGCCUCAGCAACAAUCACUUCAAACCCCAUACUUUCUGCUGUCUCCGCAAUAUUUGUAGAAUUAGUGAAUGAUCGAGUCCUUUUCCUCGAUAUUACCAAAAGACGGGGCUUUCUAGUGUCGCCAGGUCUUAGUCUAACCGCAUUUCUCCUUUUCAGUGAGUAGGUGUUUCUCAAAAACUCUCUGAAGUCUCUCAUCGUGUAGGGUGACUUGGAAGGAUCUAUAUUUAGCUCUCCAUGACGCUGAAGACCCAUGAGGAUGCUUGGAAAGCAAUGAACAUCUUCUUCUUGGUCGAUAUUGAUAAUUGGAUAGUAAGAAAGAUUUUGUAAAAUUGCUUGGAACUUCGUGACCCACCAAGAGCGGCAAUCAGAAAUGAGGAACUGCACUUUUCCAUUAAAGGGCCUGGACGUCAAGUACAAUGGAAUUAUGAUAUCACUGAAGUCAUGGAAAUGGUUUCCUGCAUAUCCUCCUGUGGAGAAGAGAAUGGAUGCGAUGGUAUGAUUUUGGGUGCACUGAGGAACUUGUACAUCCGAAAAUGCUGGUAUUAUUGACCAUUCUCUGACGUGAUUCAUUGCUUGUAAGUCUUUAUUUCUUGCAUAUGGUCUUAUUUUCCAGGAAUUGUAUCCUCCAAACAAAUUUCUUUUUUCGGGGGAAGAGAUGAAAACUGUGGAGGACUUGGCAUUGAUCCUCACUUCACCAGUUAUGUUGUAUAACUCUGAUCUUAGGUCCAUAACAUGGCACGGUGGCUCUCUUUGCUUCAUUGCAUUUUCCGCCACUACAAGAUUAUUAGUGAAAAAAUGAGAACCCCUCCAAACAAGACAAAGCCUGAUCAAGGGAGAAAAACGCUUGCCAUGUACAUUUAGUAUGAUUACGUACUCAGCUGAUUGGUCAUUGAAGAUGUUUUACUCUGGAAAACAGUGGAAUUGCAUCGUUGCUCCUGUUUAGCCAUAAUGUUUUCUACAACUGCAAGAGGUAUGGACACAUUUAAUGACCCUUUCCAAUUGACAACUGCAGAAUCACAGGAAAAGCAAGUAAAGUUCAUGUAUCCUAAAUGAUUGCUUCAGAAAAUUUGCCAAACACUGAGAAUGCGGCAUCUAAUUGUACAUCAUCUACUGGAGCAUGGGGUCAGAAUUAUGGCAUGUUAGGAGACUUAGGUUGAGAACUUAAGACGUUGGCUUGUGACUGUUUCAGUUCUUGCAAGAAACAAGGUGGGGAUUACUCACGCGUCAGUGAAGGACCCAGGUAAGGCCUGAACCUGAAGACAGCGCAGAAGCUCAACACAAGGAAUGAGCAAGCGACAAAUGCUCCAUACACCAACUUCUUCCGCUUGAACCUGCCAAAGCUUUUCGCAAUGAUCGCACCGUGCAUCAUCUCGGCUUGGACUAAGUAGCAAACGCCAGAGAGUAGAAACGUCUGAUCAUGUGUUUGAUUGUAUGAAACCCUCUUCUCAAGGAGAGGCCGGUUUCUCAAAUAUGAUGACCAUGAAGCAGGCCUUAAGAUGCCAUUUAUGUAGGCGGAGUUGAAGUUGAAUUGUUCUUUCUAGGUGAUGACUUGUUGCUCUUCACGUCCUUAAACUCUCUAUGGUUGUAUAGUCGAUUAUUAUUUUCUGAUAAUGAUGGUUGAGAGGGACAUAUC